GACGAACGCUGGCGGCGUGCCUAAUACAUGCAAGUAGAACGCUGAAGAGAGGAGCUUGCUCUUCUUGGAUGAGUUGCGAACGGGUGAGUAACGCGUAGGUAACCUGCCUUGUAGCGGGGGAUAACUAUUGGAAACGAUAGCUAAUACCGCAUAACAAUGGAUGACACAUGUCAUUUAUUUGAAAGGGGCAAUUGCUCCACUACAAGAUGGACCUGCGUUGUAUUAGCUAGUAGGUGAGGUAAUGGCUCACCUAGGCGACGAUACAUAGCCGACCUGAGAGGGUGAUCGGCCACACUGGGACUGAGACACGGCCCAGACUCCUAAGGGAGGCAGCAGUAGGGAAUCUUCGGCAAUGGGGGCAACCCUGACCGAGCAACGCCGCGUGAGUGAAGAAGGGUUUCGGAUCGUAAAGCUCCGUUGUAAGUCAAGAACGGGUGUGAGAGUGGAAAGUUCACACUGUGACGGUAGCUUACCAGAAAGGGACGGCUAACUACGUG
This 497-nucleotide ribosomal RNA is filed under the name uncultured bacterium. Its description in RNAcentral is "partial 16S ribosomal RNA". It matches the Rfam family "Bacterial small subunit ribosomal RNA", at positions 28 to 507 of the family's 1533-position model. The record is from RNAcentral.